CUGAGGUCCAAGACCUCAUCUUCUGGCUCUGCAGACCUCUGGGAAUAGGGAUCACAUGACUUUGGCUCAGCCUUUGUGAGAAAACUUCAUGGAGUCAGUCCCAUUCAGUAGCCAAAACAACAGCAACAACUAAUGCCUACAGUACUUUAAGGAGGAAAACAGAAGAAAAGAAAAGAAAGAACAUAUCCAAGAAACAUAGGUGUGAAGGUCUCCUGUGGUCCCUAAGUUUUUGCCUUCUAGCUGCAUUUAAAAACCUAUCAAGAUGA
Molecule: long non-coding RNA, 266 nt
Filed under: Sarcophilus harrisii (Tasmanian devil)
Lineage: Eukaryota; Metazoa; Chordata; Mammalia; Dasyuromorphia; Dasyuridae
Description: lncRNA (ENSSHAG00000031352.1)
Source: RNAcentral